This 253-nucleotide ribosomal RNA is filed under the name uncultured bacterium. RNAcentral's name for it is "partial 16S ribosomal RNA". It matches the Rfam family "Bacterial small subunit ribosomal RNA", at positions 524 to 776 of the family's 1533-position model. The record is from RNAcentral.
GACAGAGGCCUCGAGCGUUAGGCGGAAUCACUGGGCUUAAAGCGCGCGUAGGCGGCCCGGUAAGUCCGUUGUGAAAGUCAAAGGCUCAACCUUUGAACGCCGAUGGAUACUGCCGGGCUAGAGUCCGGAAGAGGCGAGUGGAAUUCCUGGUGUAGCGGUGGAAUGCGCAGAUAUCAGGAGGAACACCAAUAGCGAAGGCAGCUCGCUGGGACGGUACUGACGCUGAGGUGCGAAAGCGUGGGGAGCAAACAGG